ACGCUGGCGGCGCGCUUAACACAUGCAAGUCGAACGAGAAAGGGAGCAAUCCUGAGUAAAGUGGCGUACUGGUGAGUAACACGUGGAUAUCUACCUCUUGGUGGGGAAUAACCUGGGGAAACCUGGGCUAAUACCGCAUAAGUUCGUGAGAAGAAAGGCGCAAGUCGCCGAGAGAGGAGUCCGCGGUCGAUUAGGUAGUUGGCAGGGUAAAAGCCUACCAAGCCGAAGAUCGACAGCCGGCCUGAGAGGGCACACGGCCACACUGGCACUGAAACACGGGCCAGACUCCUACGGGAGGCAGCAGUGGGGAAUCUUGCACAAUGGGGGCAACCCUGAUCCAGCAAUGCCGCGUGAGUGAAGAAGGCCUUCGGGUUGUAAAGCUCUUUUGUCAGGGAAGAAAAGGUCGUGGCUAAUAUCCACGACUGCUGACGGUACCUGAAGAAUAAGCACCGGCUAACUCCGUGCCAGCAGCCGCGGUAAUACGGAGGGUGCAAGCGU
Molecule: ribosomal RNA, 498 nt
Filed under: uncultured bacterium
Lineage: Bacteria
Description: bacterial SSU rRNA
Rfam family: Bacterial small subunit ribosomal RNA
Source: RNAcentral